Molecule: long non-coding RNA, 1999 nt
Organism: Triticum aestivum (bread wheat)
Lineage: Eukaryota; Viridiplantae; Streptophyta; Magnoliopsida; Poales; Poaceae
Exons: 2
Source: RefSeq, a predicted model, not a curated record
CAGUUCGACACAGCAACAAAACCCGAACCGUACCUCUUAGGCAAUAAAAAGAAAACCACCCCACCUCCCUACUACUACCACCUACCACCACCGCACUACCCCCUGGUCAAACGGGGCUUCCCCACCUCCCGACCCAUCCACCACGCAGCGCCGCCCACCCCCGGCCACCAACCACCCGACGCCGCCCGCCACCGGCCACCACCCUGCGCCGCCGACUGCCGGCCACCACCCUGCGCCGCCCGCCGCCCGCCACCACCCUGAGCGGCCCGCCCUGGCCACAACCAUGUGCCGCCCCGCCUCGGCCACCACCUGCCAGCACCGGAUCCAGGCCACGGCGGGCCCCCCGCGACGUCCCGGCGCCGGAUCCAGGCCAUAGCGCCCCCCCCCCCCCCCCCCCCGCGACACCCUGCUACGAGAGCCAGGCUGCGCCGGCCUCCCGCGCCACCGCCCCACCUGCUCCCCCUGCGCCGCCAUCGCCCGGAUGCGCCUCCAUCGCACACCGCACCGGUGUUGGAGGACACCGGCCGGGGGCAGCCCUGCACCGCCCUCCAAGCUCGCGAGGAUGGGCGCGCGGCUGGAUCGAAUCGAGGCUGAAGGCCUCCUUCCUUGCACCGUGACUUGUGCGGCGACGGUGACCUCUGUUCCCCUCCUCCCUCAACUCCCCUUCUGGUCGCCCGACGAGCUGCCCCUCCAUCCCUCGCAGUUCGCCGGCUCAUGCGUGCAGUCCACUGUGGGCAACAGCUGACCACCAUCACCGAUGAUGGAGUCCACACGCAUGCCGUACACUUGUCAUGGUCAAAGUGUGCGGCUUGCAGUUUGGCACAAGAGGGUAUGCAGUGCAGUUCAGUUCUUCGCUGGGCCGAUGUACCUCUCACUCCAUCCUAUGCGUUCAUCUCUACUCCUUGCAUGCAGUGCAAUUUUUUGUUCAUUUGCAGCUUCAGUUAGUUUCAGUGAGCUCUUGUGCGAUUUGAAUCUCCUGCAGGGAAAGAGCAGUAGCAAGCAUGUGGUAAUGUGGUUCAAUCUGCCAUGUAUAUAUGACUUGAUUGCAAUUUACUUUUUGGCCAGAUUCGCUAUAACGCGCUGGCUGGCCACCUUCCGUAGCCUCGUCGCGUCCUGCACCGACCGGAGGAGCCGCGUCCUGCAACCGUGCUCCCAUCUUCCUCCCCUAAACCAGCGUUGGUGUUUUGGCGCCUCCCCCGUGCAGCUCCGUUGUUGCCACCAUGAAGUUCAGCUAGCUCACUACUGCAGCAUGUCGCCGGCGGUGCACACUCUACACGCAUGUCGUCCACUUUGCCGAUUGUGAGGUUCGGUGUUUGCAUGCAGGUCAUCAGUUUGGUGCGGCGAGCUCUUGCAGUUCGGGCGGCACCUUGUAGUUCGGGGUGGCACUGGCCGAUGGAGCGCCACACUCCUGCGCCACCCCUUCGACCACUCUCUAGGGCCGGUGUGCCCUGAUCCGCUCAGUUGCCUCUGUCCUACCUCGAUCCAGAUCAGGAUCGAGCUCCUCGGUAGCUGCCAGCAGAGCUUCUUCUCCCUCGCCGUUGAGCUCCUUCUCCCUCUACCGGCAGAUUGGGGAGUCGCUGGUCAACGCACCGGCUAGUGGUGUCCUACGGCAGCCGCGCUUGCAGUGCAGUUUGGCGGCGAGCACACUUGCAGUGCAAUUCGACGGCGAGCCGUCUGCAGUACAGUCCGGCAGUGCUCGCAGGCUAGCAGUGUGCAGCUUGUUUCUUUUCUUUUCGCUUCAUCUUAUUGUAAAAAAAGUUGAAUCGCCUGUGACCUUUCGAUUGUGUGUCGCCUCCACCGCCAAAGUGUGCAUGCAUUUCAGUGUGUAGUGUUGUUGCGCGUUGAGCAACACUAAGGAUGACGGCGAGCAAGCGGUGCAGUCCAGUGGCUUCGCCAUACAAUUUGCCUUGAUUUGUCUUGCGGUUUAGUUAUCUCUCUGAUGUAGUUCAAUAAGUGAUUUUGGUUCCGACAAAAAAUUAUGUGGUUCGCUUUGUAAAAA